CCUACGGGGAGCAGCAGUGAGGAAUAUUGGUCAAUGGGCGGAAGCCUGAACCAGCCAAGUAGCGUGCAGGAUGACGGCCCUACGGGUUGUAAACUGCUUUUAUACGGGAAUAACGCGCCUUACUUGUAGGGCUUUGCAUGUACCGUAUGAAUAAGGACCGGCUAAUUCCGUGCCAGCAGCCGCGGUAAUACGGAAGGUCCGGGCGUAAUCCGGAUUUAUUUGGUUUAAAGGGAGCGUAGGGCGCAUGUAAAGCGGGCUGUGAAAUGUCCGGGCUCAACCCGGGCCUUGCAGCGCGAACUGGCGUGCUUGAGGCCGCGCAAGGCAGGCGGAAUGCGUCGUGUAGCGGUGAAAUGCUUAGAUAUGACGAAGAACCCCGAUUGCGAAGGCAGCUUGCUGCAGCGGAACUGACGCUGAUGCUCGAAAGCGCGGGUAUCGAACAGGAUUAGAUACCCUUGUAGUC
This 460-nucleotide ribosomal RNA is filed under the name uncultured bacterium. Its description in RNAcentral is "partial 16S ribosomal RNA". It matches the Rfam family "Bacterial small subunit ribosomal RNA", at positions 338 to 795 of the family's 1533-position model. The record is from RNAcentral.